AUGGAGUCACGGGAUUUGUCUCAUGCGGAGAGAGAACUGAGAAAAGAGUUAAAGCACAAGCUUUUGGGGCUGUGCUCGCUGGAGCGGUCGAUUGCAAGGCAGCGUUCUCGUCUGCUGCAGCUGUGCGAGGGAGAUGGCAACACAAGGUUGUUUCAUCAGCAGGCUAGUCAUAGACAGCGGAAGAAUGUGUUGCGAGCAGUCCGGUACAAUGGGCAGAUCUAUUCGGGUCAGGAGGAAGUGGCAUCGGCAGUUGAUGCUUUCUACGGCAGAGCUUUUGGGUCCUGUGAGCAGCGACAACAUACGAUUAACUUGGAUGGGCUCAACCUGCCACAACGAGAUAUGGCACAUCUGGAGGAGUCGUUCACAGUAGAGGAAGUAGAAAGGGUGAUUAAGGCAAUGCCUAUGGACAAGGCGCCGGGGCCGGACGGCUUUACAGGGAGGUUCUAUGCCACAUGCUGGGAUAUCAUUAAAGUGGAGUUCAUGAGAGCUAUGGAUUGCAUGCAUCGGGAGGAUAUGAGAGAAAUGGUGGCAAUCAAUAGAUCACUAGUAUCUCUUCUACCCAAGAAAGAGGGAGCCAUAGACGUGGGCGACUUUCGACCAAUAAACCUUGUCCAUGGGGCAAUAAAAAUCUUCGAGAAGGUUCUCUCUGUUGGGGAACGUUGUAGAAAAUAA
RNAcentral lists this ribosomal RNA (672 nucleotides) under Triticum aestivum (bread wheat). RNAcentral's name for it is "partial small subunit ribosomal RNA". Lineage: Eukaryota; Viridiplantae; Streptophyta; Magnoliopsida; Poales; Poaceae. The record is from RNAcentral.